This 207-nucleotide ribosomal RNA is filed under the name Ditylum brightwellii. RNAcentral describes it as "partial Eukaryotic small subunit ribosomal RNA". It matches the Rfam family "Eukaryotic small subunit ribosomal RNA", at positions 1514 to 1721 of the family's 1831-position model. Lineage: Eukaryota; Bacillariophyta; Thalassiosirophyceae; Lithodesmiales; Lithodesmiaceae. The record is from RNAcentral.
AACGAGUACUUUCCUUGUCCGGAAGGACUGGGUAAUCUUGUGAAACUUCGUCGUGCUGGGGAUAGAGCAUUGCAAUUAUUGCUCUUCAACGAGGAAUUCCUAGUAAGCGCAAGUCAUCAGCUUGCGUUGACUACGUCCCUGCCCUUUGUACACACCGCCCGUCGCUACUACCGAUUGAAUGGCUUAGUGAGGCCUCCAGAUUGGCUA